UGCAGUCGAGCGGAGCGAGGGUGCUUGCACCUUAGCUUAGCGGCGGACGGGUGAGUAAUGCUUAGGAAUCUGCCUAUUAGUGGGGGACAACAUUCCGAAAGGGAUGCUAAUACCGCAUACGCCCUACGGGGGAAAGCAGGGGAUCUUCGGACCUUGCGCUAAUAGAUGAGCCUAAGUCGGAUUAGCUAGUUGGUGGGGUAAAGGCCUACCAAGGCGACGAUCUGUAGCGGGUCUGAGAGGAUGAUCCGCCACACUGGGACUGAGACACGGCCCAGACUCCUACGGGAGGCAGCAGUGGGGAAUAUUGGACAAUGGGGGGAACCCUGAUCCAGCCAUGCCGCGUGUGUGAAGAAGGCCUUUUGGUUGUAAAGCACUUUAAGCGAGGAGGAGGCGCUCUAGGCUAAUACCCUAGAUGCGUGGACGUUACUCGCAGAAUAAGCACCGGCUAACUCUGUGCCAGCAGCCGCGGUAAUACAGAGGGUGCGAGCGUUAAUCGGAUUUACUGGGCGUAAAGCGCGCGUAGGUGGCUAAUUAAGUCAAAUGUGAAAUCCCCGAGCUUAACUUGGGAAUUGCAUUCGAUACUGGUUAGCUAGAGUAUGGGAGAGGAUGGUAGAAUUCCAGGUGUAGCGGUGAAAUGCGUAGAGAUCUGGAGGAAUACCGAUGGCGAAGGCAGCCAUCUGGCCUAAUACUGACACUGAGGUGCGAAAGCAUGGGGAGCAAACAGGAUUAGAUACCCUGGUAGUCCAUGCCGUAAACGAUGUCUACUAGCCGUUGGGGCCUUUGAGGCUUUAGUGGCGCAGCUAACGCGAUAAGUAGACCGCCUGGGGAGUACGGUCGCAAGACUAAAACUCAAAUGAAUUGACGGGGGCCCGCACAAGCGGUGGAGCAUGUGGUUUAAUUCGAUGCAACGCGAAGAACCUUACCUGGCCUUGACAUACAGAGAACUUUCCAGAGAUGGAUUGGUGCCUUCGGGAACUCUGAUACAGGUGCUGCAUGGCUGUCGUCAGCUCGUGUCCUGAGAUGUUGGGUUAAGUCCCGCAACGAGCGCAACCCUUUUCCUUACUUGCCAGCAUUUCGGAUGGGAACUUUAAGGAUACUGCCAGUGACAAACUGGAAGAAAGCCGGGAACAACGUCAAGUCAUCAUGGGCCCUUACGGGCGAGGGCUACCACCGUGCUUACAAUGGUCGGUUCCAAAGGGUGGUU
This 1204-nucleotide ribosomal RNA is filed under the name Acinetobacter sp. RNAcentral describes it as "bacterial SSU rRNA". It matches the Rfam family "Bacterial small subunit ribosomal RNA", at positions 56 to 1251 of the family's 1533-position model. Lineage: Bacteria; Pseudomonadati; Pseudomonadota; Gammaproteobacteria; Moraxellales; Moraxellaceae. The record is from RNAcentral.